AGAAAUGUUCUGACGUUACUCAAUAUGUUUUUUUCCCCGCCUUCUACUGCAGUGCUUGUUGGAGUUCAUCACCGCCAGUGGAACAGUUAUCCUUUGCUGUGAGGACACACCUGGAGAAGAAAUCAUAAUGGCUGGAAGAGACAUGCAUGGACUACUCUCCAUCCACGCCAGAAGACACGGUGGAAUGCACUGAUUGCUGACAGUGUAGUUCAGUAACAUUGCUGAGUGGAGGUACUGUCACAUACAGCUGUGUCUGGCUCCUGCUCAUACACAGGACUGAGGCCAAACAGCAGGCAGAAGGUGGAACAAGAUUUCCAGGUAAUUUAGGAAAGAGUUUAAAGCAGUACAGCUUACAGGUAGGGACAGGUGGGAGGUUUUCAAACUGCCCCACCAACUCUCAACACAGCGUUACAGUUACGGCUGCUGGCUCAGCUUCUUGGGAAUAAGGCUGUACGUUCAGGUAAUUUAAACCUCCAAUUCUGAAAGCAUUUUCUUUUUCAUACUGUUUUUUUAGUUUCGAAGCCUAUUUAAAAGGCUCAGUUGUUUUUCAAAUAAAAAUCAGACAGAUGAGAACUGGUGAAAGGGUUGCAAUGCUUUGAUCAAGUAUUAAGGAAGUUCAGCGCACACAACUGUCCCUUCUCAGAUAUUUGCUUUUCACCAUAGCUCUGAGUAUUUCAAUUGCUCACCAGUUCUUCUCCUGGGGAGCAGCGAAAUGAGAAUUUCUGCUUCAUACAUGAAGACUGAGCACAGUCGGGUCUCCGAACCAUUUUUUUUUUGCAUUAAAUCUGUUUCUCUCUCUGUUCUUCAUAUUCUUGUAGCUGUGAAGGUCAACGACAAAAAACAAAAGACAAGAUUUGGAGGGAGAGACAAUAUGUUUUAUCUGGAGAAAAAGUAUAGAAGUUGUUAGGCACUUAAAUCCUAGGCUUGAAAUGUACCAUGAUAGUGUCCAGUGGGAAAUAGAAUUUUUGUUUCCAAGGCUGUGGUUUGAAGAUUUUUUCUUUCAUUUGCCCUUGAGAAGCAAGCCUUGUAGGUCAAUUGUGGAGCAGUUUGAAAACAACUGAGGAGGGCUGUGUGUGGGAGGACAGAGUAAUCUGUGUUUGUUUGGUUUCUCACAGGGAAUGCUAGUGACCUACAACUUUAAUGGGAGUAACAAUCAACUGGUUCCUAAUUGAGAUCAGUUUCCUAGUGUGCCUGAGGCAGUGACUUGUAGUCUCAGGGAGCCUCCUCGGCAGGGAAGGCUUCCAAACACUGUCAUUUCAGCAUGGGAACCAUUUAUUGAACUUAGUAGCAUGAUAAAUGCUUUCAGUGAACCUCGUUACUGUUCAUGGG
RNAcentral lists this long non-coding RNA (1329 nucleotides) under Gallus gallus (chicken). Its description in RNAcentral is "lncRNA (ENSGALG00010019889.1)". The record is from RNAcentral. Lineage: Eukaryota; Metazoa; Chordata; Aves; Galliformes; Phasianidae.